GUAGGCUACCACGCGUUUUUACCAGCGUUUUCGAGCGGUUUGGUUGGACACAUGUGGCGUUAUUGCUUGACAAAUCUGAUCUCUUUUCACUAACAGUUGGUAAAAGUUUGGAAUGGGGCUUGAGGAAAGAGGGAGUGCUGAAAGCUGUUCGGGAAUUAGACGGUAACGAGCGUGAGUCGUGUGAAGCCCUACUGCGGGAUGUCAGUAUGUACGCACGAGUUGUUAUACUGAGUGUUCGAGGCUCGCUGGUCCGUGAGUUCCUGUUGGCCGCCCACUCCCUAGGGAUGACGAGAGGGGAAUGGGCUUUUCUUGACGUUGAGAUA
This is a long non-coding RNA of Pieris brassicae (large cabbage white), 323 nucleotides long. RefSeq lists it as uncharacterized. The transcript has 3 exons. The record is from RefSeq and is a predicted model, not a curated record. NCBI's taxonomy places the organism in Eukaryota, Metazoa, Arthropoda, Insecta, Lepidoptera, Pieridae.